This 415-nucleotide ribosomal RNA is filed under the name uncultured eukaryote. RNAcentral's name for it is "SSU rRNA". It matches the Rfam family "Eukaryotic small subunit ribosomal RNA", at positions 592 to 1018 of the family's 1831-position model. The record is from RNAcentral.
CAAUAGCGUAUAUUAAAGUUGUUGCAGUUAAAAAGCUCGUAGUUGGAUUUCUGGGAGGGUGCUAAUGUCCGCCGUAGCGCGUGUGCAGCCGCGCCCUUCCAUCCUUCUGUUAACGCCUCUUGGCAUUCAUUUGCUGGUGGCGGGCUCAGAUAUUUUACCUUGAGAAAAUUAGAGUGUUUCAGGCAGGCUAGGCCGGAAUAUAUUAGCAUGGAAUAAUGGAAUAGGACUAUGGUCUCUUUGUUGGUUUGAGGGACUGCAGUAAUGAUUAAUAGGGAUAGUUGGGGGCAUUCAUAUUUAAUUGUCAGAGGUGAAAUUCUUGGAUUUAUGAAAGAUGAACUUCUGCGAAAGCAUUUGCCAAGGAUGUUUUCAUUAAUCAAGAACGAAAGUUAGGGGAUCAAAGACGAUUAGAUACCAU